Molecule: long non-coding RNA, 504 nt
Filed under: Trifolium pratense (red clover)
Lineage: Eukaryota; Viridiplantae; Streptophyta; Magnoliopsida; Fabales; Fabaceae
Description: long non-coding RNA (TPRA_LNC003578)
Source: RNAcentral
AAUCUGGGAAACAUAAAUCUCCUAAUUUGUAAAUGAAAUUGACACAAAAUACUAGAAAAAUCAUCACAAUAACAACAGCAAUUCGGUUGAACAUACAUGAAGCUGCCCAAAAAUCUACUAACUUGUUAAGGAAUGAAGUUUGGAUGAAAACAAUGGGGGUUGUGACGGGAGAGAAACAGUGGCAAGAUGGACAUGGUGGGGGACAUAUUGUAGCAAUUUAGCAAUAACCCAUCACCCGUGGUUGGUUCUUCACAGUUCUAGUUUUCUGGGUUGGGUUGUUUUUCUUUUAAAACUGGUAGGAUUAGUAUUUUGAAUGAUUAUGUUAAGAGCAAGCAACUGGAGGAUGUGGUUGUUGUUUCUAGUAGCAGUUGAGUUUAGAAAAUGGGUUCAUUUCAUGUGCAAGUUUGAUUUAAUUGUUUUUUGUUUUGAUUUUUUUUAAGUUCCAAUUUAUAGCCUUCGUUGAUGAAUCUAUAUGACGUCACCAAGAAAAAAAAUGAGUUUUAG